RNAcentral lists this transfer RNA (69 nucleotides) under Marmota monax (woodchuck). RNAcentral describes it as "tRNA.Val". It matches the Rfam family "tRNA", at positions 5 to 66 of the family's 71-position model. Rfam says of the family: Transfer RNA (tRNA) molecules are approximately 80 nucleotides in length. The record is from RNAcentral. Lineage: Eukaryota; Metazoa; Chordata; Mammalia; Rodentia; Sciuridae.
GCUUGUAGCUCAGUGGUAGAGCACUUGCCUCACAUGUAUGAGGUACUAGGUUCGAUCCUCAGCAAAACA